AAACGGUCUCAAUAGCGGUCAGCUGUCCGCAACUCAUGGGGAAAUGGCAAAUGAGAAAACCAAAGGUGCAUUGGGUAAAGCAAACGUUAUCAGUGUUGUUUCCCAAACUAUCAGAGCCAUUAACACCACCACUACAGUAAGUCAUAAUAAAGAUAUAGAAGGAAACAAAAGCAAAAGGACGGUAACACUCGUCCCUCUCCCUAAGUAGAUCCGAACACUUCGCAGAACAACAACACUUUUCUCAGUAGGGAAAACUAAGCACGAAACCAGAAGGAAAUCAUCCAUCUAACGACGAUGAAGAAAAACGAAUCUUAAACCGGAAAUAAACAAGAUCACCUAGUCUUCAUCUAUGGUCAGUGGUGAAACGCGUCCAGUUGAGAUCAAAUCAAAAAUCAAAAACGUGAAUUGGAAAACGAAACUCACCAGCCAAAACAAAGCAGGCUCUUGGUUCUCAGAGUUUUAAUCGAAUUGGCCACUGAGACCAAAGGAGUAUCGGGGUUGGAAGUGCUUGCGGUGCUGCCAGUUUGUCUACCCUGUUUUGGUGUUUUGUUCUGUAAAGAUAAGUUGUACCUUGUAGUUUCCCUUGUAAAAUAUUUGCUUGGUUUUUGUUGCUGCGUAUUUUCACUGCCGGUACUUGUGGUAUUUCCUGAAGCACUCAAUGAAAGAAAACCAAACUUCGAGCAAUCGGAUGAUAGAGGCAAUGGAAUCAUUGUUUUAGAUCAGUACCUAUCAAAGAAAACAUCUUUGCUGAUGGGGCAUUAGUUAAAGCUCCAGCAGGUACCAAACUAUGAGGAUCAAACAUGUAAAAGUAGCCACCAGAUACAAUUGAGAGAAGGUCGCAUUCUGAAUAGAAACAAACCAAUCCCAAACCAUAAUUAAUCGUGUUGUCGCGUAAUCUCCAUGGAGGAAGGAGCUGGAGACUACUGAAUUCCUCUCGACUCAAGCAAGCACCUUUAAAAAUUGCUACAAGAACAGGCUCUUGGAAUUCACCUAAAUUAUGAUGAAGCAAAGACUGGCGAGGAUGUUUCCCUCUUAUCAUAAACUAGAUGUAACUUCUUGGCUUUGCAGCAAUCUGCCAACUCAAGAAGGUCAAACAACAAAACUUCAUUGUUUCUAUACAAAGCCAAAAGUUCACUUAUUUUAUUGUAGUCCAUGCACGACAGAUUUUUAGUCAUAUCUUCACUGACUAAAGAGAGGCAAUAAACUGACUGUACUCCCAGCCUUUCUGCCAAAUCAUUAUUGAUACAUGGAUGCACAAAAUGUCUCCCAACAAGAGAAAUAUUUUCCAGCCAAGGUGCAUCGUUGUAUACAACAACUCCUGAAUGUAUAAGAACUCCAAAAGCAUCAGGAAUCAACAAGGGACUGUAAAAAAAGAUCAAAAUGUGACUUCUGCGAGCAACAUUCUUGUAUAGCUUCAAGAGCACAGCAGACAAAAUUUAACUGAUCUUUUGAAAUAGGAACUCCAUGCACAUCAUUCUGCAACUUCUGUAGCAUAUGAAGAUAGUCUGGAAUACCAAAACUCAAUUUGACUCCUAACUUUAUCAUCAAUCUUUAUACUCUUGCUUUCAAUUCAAUGAAGUCAUCAGUAUUAAUAUAUUCUUGCAAUUUUGAACAAAGGAAGGGUAUUUCUUUUUGCAAGUGAGCAUCAAAAUCAGAAUCCAGUAAUCAAUCUGUCUUCAGCUGUGUAUAGGACUUAGAUAGCUCAAUUAAUUGUUUUGGAUAAACAUUUACAUUUGGGUAAUCCAUCCGCCCAAGUUUUGUUUGUAGAUAUGUCUCAUUAGAAUCAAAUUUUGUGACAAAUUGAUUUGAACAUGAAUAUGUUCUCUUCCUCUGUGGUGGUAAGGGUCUGCUGUGAUUGUUGGACUAACUGCUGCUGCAGUAGGUGCAGUAGUGGCAGGUGGUGUUGCUGCAAGUAAAACCAUGGCUACCGAUGCUCCUCAAGCUACAAAUAAACUUGGUGAAGACCUUUACAAAGUAAUAUCGCGAAUAGAAUCCUUCAAGUCAACAACGGUGGGAUCAAUACUGAAAUCAUACCGAUGGGCGCCUUUGUUCCAGUUGAAAAAAAACAGUGCUAUGUUGGCCGUUCUUCUGUUGUAAGCCAAAAAAUCAGAGACACAAAAGCACACACUCCAAGUAUCAUGAGAGUCAUGUCUUGGAAUGCUUCCCAAACAAAAACCCAGAAGCUUUUAGCUUGACUUUCAGUGGAUUUAUAGAUUCCAUACAUCUGUUGUUUCUUUAUCCGGUAGAUCAAUCUCAAUAUUAAUCCUAUCGAUGUUGGAUGUACAAAGCUUGUCUGCAAUGCCAUCAAUCUUACCAUGAUAUUUCAACUCCUUUACAUCAUGUCCUCCAACAAUAGACCCCAAUUCAUCGCCACAGAUUUGAAGUCAUACAUCUUCAACAUAACCGGCACUUUGUAAUCACUUGGUUUCGCGCCUUGGAUAAAAUGAAAUGUUGCUUUGGAAACAAAAAUUGCAACCUAAUGUGAACCACAUGCUAAAUCUCCUUUUGAUUUUUGAUUUUUGGGUAUUGACUGUUGUGUGGUUUGGUUUGAUUUUAGAAGGGCUUUGGUUGCGUUUGAUGCAAGGCUAUGAUAGUCGCGUGAUGACACUUGCCGUUGGCGAUGAUACUUGCAGAGUUUUGGAUUUGCUGCGGGAUUGAUCUAGUAUUUAUCAUUAAGCCUCUGAAGAUUAUAGUGUUUAUCAUCUUUCAAUUCCUGAACGGCUCCAACAUUUCGAAGAAACGUAAUAAAAGAAGCAGCAGCGUCUUCAGGAGACUUGAGUCGAGCUACAAUGUCGGCCCUGCGUUCAACCAUAUCCUGAGGCACGUCUUCAGUUUGGUAGAGUGUCUUGUGAAAACGCCUCUAAAUCUUCAAGUGAUAGUUACAUAUAUGGUAAAGGCCACUCAGAAAACUCUGAAGUAGUUGACUCACCACAUAUAGGACUCACUAUACUGUAUGACUGUAUUACCUCGGGAACAUCAAUUCUAUCACAAGUUACAGUAUCUAUAUCAACAUUGAGAAGUUGCGUAGGAUGAGUUGACAUAUUCAAAGAAUUGUCAAUGUCAAUCACUUGAUUCAUGACAAUUUGAAGAUCUUAAAAAUAAAUGUCGUCACAUUGUGUAAUGUCUGAACUUACAAUAGGACUCUGUCUUUCCAAAGAAACUAUAUCAUGGUUAACAGUACUGCAAAUGUUAUUUAAAUUGGGGACUUUAUUCCGGCGCUCGCACGAUGAAACUUCAGCUUCUACCAAGUUUACCAAAUUUAUUCUCUCAUCUGGAAUAAAUCCUACGAAAGUAGCAUCUGCUUCCCAUUCCACAGGAAAACUACCAGGGUUCUUUUGAGAUGUAGCAAUUUAAUGAGCCAUGUAAGGUUCUUUAUGUAAGUCUUCUGUAGAAAUCUGGUUUUGUGAAAAAAGCAUGGUUGUGGGUGAUUUUCUUGGAAGAUCAGCUUCAUUUGUGGGAGAUUUCACAAGAUUUAAAACACGAGGAUGCUGAAAACUAUUUUGGUUUCUCCUCCUCUACCAAAUCUUUCAGCUAAGGUGUCAAGGAGCCUGAACCAAUAUGUGUAUUAUUUUUCUCAACAAAAAAUUCAUUUUAUAAACAGCUUGGAAAAUCUUUCUCAUGCUUCUGCAGUUCAUUGUAAGCAAAGUUGGCAUCUUCCUCCUUGUAAUUAAAACUCAGGUGUGAGUUUUGUAAAUUAUGUAUGUUUUGGACAAUCUUAUGGUUUGCAAUGAAUAUGACAUAUGACAUGAAUGAGAAUUGGUGUUUCUUGUAGCAAGACAAAGAUCUCUCUUUGUAUCUUAGAAACUCCAUGUAUUCAUGUGAUGAGAUGAUUUUUGAUUAUAAGUUAUUCAUAUGCCAUGUACAUGGAUGAUUAUGAUUGAAUGAAUGAACGAAGUAAUCGAAGUAUGAAUGAGUAUGUGGAAAUUCUUGAAUAUGAAUGGAAAACUUUCCAAUGUAAUGAAGAAAUAUGAAUGAAAAUUUUGAAUAUGAAAUGUAGAAUUUUGAAGGUGAAAA
Molecule: long non-coding RNA, 4014 nt
Organism: Lathyrus oleraceus (garden pea)
Lineage: Eukaryota; Viridiplantae; Streptophyta; Magnoliopsida; Fabales; Fabaceae
Exons: 3
Source: RefSeq, a predicted model, not a curated record